This 959-nucleotide ribosomal RNA is filed under the name uncultured Actinomycetes bacterium. RNAcentral describes it as "bacterial SSU rRNA". It matches the Rfam family "Bacterial small subunit ribosomal RNA", at positions 364 to 1336 of the family's 1533-position model. The record is from RNAcentral. Lineage: Bacteria; Bacillati; Actinomycetota; Actinomycetes.
UUGCGCAAUGGGCGAAAGCCUGACGCAGCGACGCCGCGUGGGGGAUGACGGCCUUCGGGUUGUAAACCUCUUUCAGCAGGGACGAAGCGAAAGUGACGGUACCUGCAGAAGAAGCACCGGCCAACUACGUGCCGGCAGCCGCGGUAAUACGUAGGGUGCAAGCGUUGUCCGGAAUUAUUGGGCGUAAAGAGCUCGUAGGCGGUUUGUUGCGUCGGCUGUGAAAACCUGAGGCUCAACCUCAGGCCUGCAGUCGAUACGAGCAGACUAGAGUGUUGCAGGGGAGACUGGAAUUCCUGGUGUAGCGGUGAAAUGCGCAGAUAUCAGGAGGAACACCGGUGGCGAAGGCGGGUCUCUGGGCAACAACUGACGCUGAGGAGCGAAAGCGUGGGGAGCGAACAGGAUUAGAUACCCUGGUAGUCCACGCCGUAAACGUUGGGCGCUAGGUGUGGGGCUCAUUCCACGAGUUCCGUGCCGCAGCUAACGCAUUAAGCGCCCCGCCUGGGGAGUACGGCCGCAAGGCUAAAACUCAAAGGAAUUGACGGGGGCCCGCACAAGCGGCGGAGCAUGUUGCUUAAUUCGAUGCAACGCGAAGAACCUUACCUAGGCUUGACAUGCACGGAAAUCCUCCAGAGAUGGUGGGUCCGCAAGGGUCGUGCACAGGUGGUGCAUGGUUGUCGUCAGCUCGUGUCGUGAGAUGUUGGGUUAAGUCCCGCAACGAGCGCAACCCUCGUUCUAUGUUGCCAGCACGUCAUGGUGGGGACUCAUAGGAGACUGCCGGGGUCAACUCGGAGGAAGGUGGGGAUGACGUCAAAUCAUCAUGCCCCUUAUGUCUAGGGCUGCAAACAUGCUACAAUGGCCGGUACAAAGGGCUGCGAUACCGCGAGGUGGAGCGAAUCCCAAAAAGCCGGUCUCAGUUCGGAUUGGGGUCUGCAACUCGACCCCAUGAAGUUGGAGUCGCU